RNAcentral lists this ribosomal RNA (497 nucleotides) under uncultured bacterium. RNAcentral describes it as "partial 16S ribosomal RNA". It matches the Rfam family "Bacterial small subunit ribosomal RNA", at positions 28 to 507 of the family's 1533-position model. The record is from RNAcentral.
GAUGAACGCUGGCGGCGUGCCUAAUACAUGCAAGUCGAGCGAACAGAUAAGGAGCUUGCUCCUUUGACGUUAGCGGCGGACGGGUGAGUAACACGUGGGUAACCUACCUAUAAGACUGGAAUAACUCCGGGAAACCGGGGCUAAUGCCGGAUAACAUGUUGAACCGCAUGGUUCUACAGUGAAAGGCGGCUUUGCUGUCACUUAUAGAUGGACCCGCGCCGUAUUAGCUAGUUGGUGAGGUAACGGCUCACCAAGGCAACGAUACGUAGCCGACCUGAGAGGGUGAUCGGCCACACGGGAACUGAGACACGGUCCAGACUCCUACGGGAGGCAGCAGUAGGGAAUCUUCCGCAAUGGGCGAAAGCCUGACGGAGCAACGCCGCGUGAGUGAUGAAGGUCUUCGGAUCGUAAAACUCUGUUAUUAGGGAAGAACAAAUGCGUAAGUAACUGUGCGCGUCUUGACGGUACCUAAUCAGAAAGCCACGGCUAACUACGUG